UACGUAGGGGGCAAGCGUUGUUCGGAAUUACUGGGCGUAAAGGGCGCGUAGGCGGCACGGCAAGUCAGGAGUGAAAGGCCUGGGCUCAACCGAGGAACUGCUUUUGAGACUGCCGAGCUAGAGUGCAGAAGGGGCAACUGGAAUUCCCAGUGUAGCGGUGAAAUGCGUAGAUAUUGGGAAGAACACCUGAGGCGAAGGCGGGUUGCUGGGCUGACACUGACGCUGAGGCGCGAAAGCUAGGGGAGCGAACAGG
RNAcentral lists this ribosomal RNA (253 nucleotides) under uncultured bacterium. RNAcentral describes it as "partial 16S ribosomal RNA". It matches the Rfam family "Bacterial small subunit ribosomal RNA", at positions 524 to 776 of the family's 1533-position model. The record is from RNAcentral.